Molecule: small nucleolar RNA, 93 nt
Filed under: Trichobilharzia regenti
Lineage: Eukaryota; Metazoa; Platyhelminthes; Trematoda; Strigeidida; Schistosomatidae
Description: Small nucleolar RNA U3
Source: Rfam by way of RNAcentral
GAGAUUGUACUUCUAAGGAUCAGUCCUAUAGUACAUAUCACAAGGACGUUAAACAAACUAUAAAAUAAUCAUAUCGGUUUAAUAAUACUUUGA